RNAcentral lists this ribosomal RNA (251 nucleotides) under uncultured bacterium. RNAcentral's name for it is "partial 16S ribosomal RNA". It matches the Rfam family "Bacterial small subunit ribosomal RNA", at positions 50 to 339 of the family's 1533-position model. The record is from RNAcentral.
AACACAUGCAAGUCGAGCGAUAUAGCGGCGAACGGGUGAGUAACACGUUGGAACCUGCCCCGGACUCAGGGAUAGCCCACCGAAAGGUGGAUUAAUACCGGAUGGUCCCGCAAGGGUAAAGCUUUUGCGGUCCGGGAGGGGCCUGCGCAGUAUCAGUUUGUUGGUAAGGUAACGGCUUACCAAGACUACGACGCUUAACUGGUCUGAGAGGAUGAUCAGUCACAAUGGAACUGAGACACGGUCCAUACUCC